UGAGGAAUAUUGGUCAAUGGGCGAGAGCCUGAACCAGCCACGUCGCGUGAAGGAAGACUGACCUUACGGUUUGUAAACUUCUUUUGUAGAGGGGUAAUGGCAGAUACGUGUAUUUGCGUGAAAGUACUCUACGAAUAAGCAUCGGCUAACUCCGUGCCAGCAGCCGCGGUAAUACGGGGGAUGCGAGCGUUAUCCGGAAUUAUUGGGCGUAAAGAGCUUGUAGGCGGUUCGUCGCGUCUGGUGUGAAAGCCCAUCGCUUAACGGUGGGUUUGCGCCGGGUACGGGCGGGCUAGAGUGCAGUAGGGGAGACUGGAAUUCCCGGUGUAACGAUGGAAUGUGUAGAUAUCGGGAAGAACACCAAUGGCGAAGGCAGGUCUCUGGGCUGUUACUGACGCUGAGAAGCGAAAGCGUGGGGAGCGAACAGG
This 425-nucleotide ribosomal RNA is filed under the name Verrucomicrobiota bacterium. Its description in RNAcentral is "Verrucomicrobia bacterium partial 16S ribosomal RNA". It matches the Rfam family "Bacterial small subunit ribosomal RNA", at positions 355 to 776 of the family's 1533-position model. The record is from RNAcentral. Lineage: Bacteria; Pseudomonadati; Verrucomicrobiota.